AUUGAACGCUGGCGGCAGGCCUAACACAUGCAAGUCGAACGAGUGGCGGACGGGUGAGUAAUGUCUGGGAAACUGCCUGAUGGAGGGGGAUAACUACUGGAAACGGUAGCUAAUACCGCAUACCAUCAGAUGUGCCCAGAUGGGAUUAGCUAGGAGGUGGGGUAAAGGCUCACCUAGGCGACGAUCCCUAGCUGGUCUGAGAGGAUGACCAGCCACACUGGAGCGCAGACACGGUCCAGACUCCCACGAGAGGCAGCCGUGGGGGAUAUUGCACGACGGGCGCAAGCUUGAUGCAGCCAUGCCGCGUGUAUGAAGAAGGCCUUCGGGUUGUAGAGUACUUUCAGCGGGGAGGCGUUACCCGCAGAAGAAGCACCGGCUAACUCCGUGCCAGCCGCCGCGGUAAUAC
RNAcentral lists this ribosomal RNA (406 nucleotides) under uncultured bacterium. Its description in RNAcentral is "partial 16S ribosomal RNA". It matches the Rfam family "Bacterial small subunit ribosomal RNA", at positions 30 to 526 of the family's 1533-position model. The record is from RNAcentral.